RNAcentral lists this ribosomal RNA (497 nucleotides) under uncultured bacterium. RNAcentral's name for it is "partial 16S ribosomal RNA". It matches the Rfam family "Bacterial small subunit ribosomal RNA", at positions 28 to 507 of the family's 1533-position model. The record is from RNAcentral.
GAUGAACGCUGGCGGCGCGCCUAAUACAUGCAAGUCGAGCGAACAGACGAGGAGCUUGCUCCUCUGACGUUAGCGGCGGACGGGUGAGUAACACGUGGAUAACCUACCUAUAAGACUGGGAUAACUUCGGGAAACCGGAGCUAAUACCGGAUAAUAUAUUGAACCGCAUGGUUCAAUAGUGAAAGACGGUUUUGCUGUCACUUAUAGAUGGAUCCGCGCCGCAUUAGCUAGUUGGUAAGGUAACGGCUUACCAAGGCAACGAUGCGUAGCCGACCUGAGAGGGUGAUCGGCCACACUGGAACUGAGACACGGUCCAGACUCCUACGGGAGGCAGCAGUAGGGAAUCUGCCGCAAUGGGCGAAAGCCUGACGGAGCAACGCCGCGUGAGUGAUGAAGGUCUUCGGAUCGUAAAACUCUGUUAUUAGGGAAGAACAAAUGUGUAAGUAACUAUGCACGUCUUGACGGUACCUGAUCAGAAAGCCACGGCUAACUACGUG